RNAcentral lists this ribosomal RNA (497 nucleotides) under uncultured bacterium. Its description in RNAcentral is "partial 16S ribosomal RNA". It matches the Rfam family "Bacterial small subunit ribosomal RNA", at positions 28 to 507 of the family's 1533-position model. The record is from RNAcentral.
GAUGAACGCUGGCGGCGUGCCUAAUACAUGCAAGUCGAGCGAACAGACGAGGAGCUUGCUCCUCUGACGUUAGCGGCGGACGGGUGAGUAACACGUGGAUAACCUACCUAUAAGACUGGGAUAACUUCGGGAAACCGGAGCUAAUACCGGAUAACAUGUUGAACCGCAUGGUUCAACAGUGAAAGACGGUCUUGCUGUCACUUAUAGAUGGAUCCGCGCCGCAUUAGCUAGUUGGUAAGGUAACGGCUUACCAAGGCAACGAUGCGUAGCCGACCUGAGAGGGUGAUCGGCCACACUGGAACUGAGACACGGUCCAGACUCCUACGGGAGGCAGCAGUAGGGAAUCUUCCGCAAUGGGCGAAAGCCUGACGGAGCAACGCCGCGUGAGUGAAGAAGGUCUUCGGAUAGUAAAAAUCUGUUAUUAGGGAAGAACAAAUGUGUAAGUAACUAUGCACGUCUUGACGGUACCUAAUCAGAAAGCCACGGCUAACUACGUG